AUUGAACGCUGGCGGCAUGCUUUACACAUGCAAGUCGGACUAGUGGCGAACGGGUGAGUAAUAUAUCGGAACGUACCGAGUAAUGGGGGAUAACUAAUCGAAAGAUUAGCUAAUACCGCAUAUUAUUCGAGCUGCCGAUAUCUGAUUAGCUCGUGGGGUGGGUAAAGGCCGACCAAGGCGACGAUCAGUAGCGGGUCUGAGAGGAUGAUCCGCCAGACGGGGACUGAGACAUGGCCCAGACUCCUACGGGAGGCAGCAGUGGGGAAUUGUGGACAAUGGGCGCAAGCCUGAUCCAGCCAUGCCGCGUGUCUGAAGAAGGCCUUCGGGUUGUAAAGGACUUUUGUCAGGGAAGCGGUACCUGAAGAAUAAGCACCGGCUAACUACGUGCCAGCAGCCGCGGUAAUUC
RNAcentral lists this ribosomal RNA (406 nucleotides) under uncultured bacterium. Its description in RNAcentral is "partial 16S ribosomal RNA". It matches the Rfam family "Bacterial small subunit ribosomal RNA", at positions 30 to 526 of the family's 1533-position model. The record is from RNAcentral.